RNAcentral lists this ribosomal RNA (776 nucleotides) under uncultured Neocallimastigales. RNAcentral's name for it is "partial large subunit ribosomal RNA". It matches the Rfam family "Eukaryotic large subunit ribosomal RNA", at positions 16 to 645 of the family's 3401-position model. The record is from RNAcentral. Lineage: Eukaryota; Fungi; Neocallimastigomycota; Neocallimastigomycetes; Neocallimastigales.
UCAGAACGAUGCGUCAUGCAUAUCAAUAAGCGGAGGAAAAGAAACUAACAGGGAUUCCCUUAGUAACGGCGAGUGAAGCGGGAAGAGCUCAAAUUUGAAAUCUUCAAGGUUUUACCUUGACGAAUUGUAGUUUAAAGAAGUGUUUUCUGUUGAAGUUUUGGUAAAAGUUCUUUGGAAUAGGACAUCAUAGAGGGUGAGAAUCCCGUAUUUGACCAUUAUUUUCAGCUGUGUGAUACACUUUCAAAGAGCCGGAUUGUUUGGGAAUGCAGUCCAAAAUGGGUGGUAAAUUUCAUCUAAAGCUAAAUAUUGGCGAGAGACCGAUAGCGAACAAGUACCGUGAGGGAAAGAUGAAAAGAACUUUGAAAAGAGAGUUAAACAGUACGUGAAAUUGUCAAAAGGGAAGCGUUUGACACCAGUGUUGUUUUCUCGAAAAUCAAUUAAAAAGAGUUAGAUUUUGUUGUGUAUUGACCUUAACAGCUUGCAUUUCAAUUUUCUUGCUUUUUUUAAUGCACUUUUCGUUUAACAAGUCAACAUCAGUUUCUUUUGUUGUAAAAAGGUCAUUGGAAGGUGGCUUUCUUUUCGGAGAAAGUGUUUAUAGCCUUUGACUCCUGCAAUCGGAGAGACUGAGGUCUGCAGCGUAGACUCCUUUUGGGAUUAGAUUACAUUUGUGCUAAGUUAUAGCUUUUUAUAGACAACAUGUUGACUAUAAUUAGUCUUGUAGCUUACUCGCUUAUGUAUUUUACCUACGCUUAGGAUGUUGAGUCAUCGUAUCGCGC